RNAcentral lists this non-coding RNA (29 nucleotides) under Rattus norvegicus (Norway rat). The record is from RNAcentral. Lineage: Eukaryota; Metazoa; Chordata; Mammalia; Rodentia; Muridae.
CACUAUAACCAGAAAGGAUGUGCAGAGGC